CCUACGGGUGGCAGCAGUGGGGAAUCUUCCACAAUGGGGGAAACCCUGAUGGAGCGACGCCGCGUGAGCGAUGAAGGAUUUCGGUAUGUAAAGCUCUAUCAGCAGGGAAGAAAAUGACGGUGCCUGAAUAAGAAGCCCCGGCUAACUACGUGCCAGCAGCCGCGGUUAUACGUAGGGGGCAAGCGUUAUCCGGAUUUACUGGGGGUAAAGGGAGCGUAGACGGCGUUGCCAGGCAGAAGUGAAAGCCCGGGGCUCAACCCCGGGACUGCAUUUGGAACUGUGCUGCUAGAGUGUCGGAGAGGCAGGCGGAAUUCCUAGUGUAGCGGUGAAAUGCGUAGAUAUUAGGAGGAACACCAGUGGCGAAGGCGGCCUGCUGGACGAUGACUGACGCUGAGGCUCGAAAGCGUGGGGAGCAAACAGGAUUAGAUACCCGAGUAGUC
RNAcentral lists this ribosomal RNA (440 nucleotides) under uncultured bacterium. Its description in RNAcentral is "partial 16S ribosomal RNA". It matches the Rfam family "Bacterial small subunit ribosomal RNA", at positions 338 to 795 of the family's 1533-position model. The record is from RNAcentral.